RNAcentral lists this ribosomal RNA (497 nucleotides) under uncultured bacterium. RNAcentral describes it as "partial 16S ribosomal RNA". It matches the Rfam family "Bacterial small subunit ribosomal RNA", at positions 28 to 507 of the family's 1533-position model. The record is from RNAcentral.
GAUGAACGCUGGCGGCGUGCCUAAUACAUGCAAGUCGAGCGAACGGACGAGAAGCUUGCUUCUCUGAUGUUAGCGGCGGACGGGUGAGUAACACGUGGAUAACCUACCUAUAAGACUGGGAUAACUUCGGGAAACCGGAGCUAAUACCGCAGAAUAUUUUGAACCGCAUGGUUCAAAAGUGAAAGACGGUCUUGCUGUCACUUAUAGAUGGAUCCGCGCUGCAUUAGCUAGUUGGUAAGGUAACGGCUUACCAAGGCAACGAUGCAUAGCCGACCUGAGAGGGUGAUCGGCCACACUGGAACUGAGACACGGUCCAGACUCCUACGGGAGGCAGCAGUAGGGAAUCUUCCGCAAUGGGCGAAAGCCUGACGGAGCAACGCCGCGUGAGUGAUGAAGGUCUUCGGAUCGUAAAGCUCUGUUAUUAGGGAAGAACAUAUGUGUAAGUAACUGUGCACAUCUUGACGGUACCUAAUCAGAAAGCAACGGCUAACUACGUG